RNAcentral lists this long non-coding RNA (1477 nucleotides) under Mus musculus (house mouse). RNAcentral's name for it is "long non-coding RNA chr19:46184332-46185809". The record is from RNAcentral. Lineage: Eukaryota; Metazoa; Chordata; Mammalia; Rodentia; Muridae.
ACACGGCACCGGAGCUGGUCUCCAGGAGAGAGUCUUAUAGAAUGUGCCGUACUGUGAUGUGUCAAUCAGAAGCACUGAAGCUUCCUGAGUGAAGCCUGGCUUUGCACCUUUUGCCUUUAGAUAUAUAACUCGCAAAGGUCUUAGAAAUGCCGAUGUUUUUCUGUGAACUGAUAUGUUGAAAAUGAGCCACGGGCUAAGAGCUGCACAGCACCACACAGUAUUAUGCUGACUGUUCUCACCGACAACCUCUAGAUCAUGACUGAGUAAUUGGGAAGAUGGGACAUUCUCCCCUCUUUUCCUUUGAUAGGUAGAACAAAAGCUAUUUGCCAAUGAAGCACUUCACCAAAUUGGUGACUUUUCAGUAAUCCACUGCUAAGUAUACAGUGCUACAUCGACUUGCUGUUUAGUCUCCAAAAUAUUAAAAAAUUUAGUGUGUAAUCCUAGCAGUGGGAAGUGGGUUGGAUAAGGCUGCCCCCAGCUAUAUAAUAUGUUUGAGGCUAGCCUAGCUAUUUGAGACUUUGUCACAGAAAAAAAAAAAAAAAAAAAAAAAAACCAUAGUUUUGAUGUUUCCAAAAAGAUUUGUCUUGAGGCUAGGGAGAUGGCUCCAGUGAUUAAGAGCACUGUCUGCUUUUCCAGAGGACCCAGUUUGAUUCCCUCACAACCACUUCAGUCAUAGGGGAUCACACACCUUCUUCAGGCCUCUACAGGCGCUUUACACACAUGGUGCACAGGUGUACAUGCAGGCAGAAUACCCAUACAUAAAAACAUAAAUUUAUUUAGAAAAAGAUUUGUCUCAAUGAGGCUUGACUGGGUGGGGUCUUGAUCAUUUCCUAGAAUUAUGCUAGCAUCACCCAGUGGCGAUUUUUUUCUCCACUCAACCAAAAGCACAAAUACUUGUUUUUUUAGGUCAGAUGGCAGCCAUAUAAAUCUUUUCUUUAUUUAUUUAUCUAUCUAUCUAUCUAUCUAUCUAUCUAUCUAUCUAUCUUUGGUCGUAGUGGAUUAAACCUGGCAGCCUUGCCCAAGCUAAAAGCAUACAAGUGUCUGCUACUGAGAUGUAUACCCUCAGGCCCCCUGUGUUUUAUAAUAAGUGGAAUUGGCUUUAAAUUCAUCCUCCUAUUUCUACUUUUAAUCUCAGAACAUUUAAAAGUAUGUGGGGUGGGGUGGAAAGAUGGCCCAUUGGUGAAGGGUGCUUACUGCUCUUGUAGAGGACUUGGGUUUAGCUCUCAGCUCCCAUGUGACAGGUUCCAAUUUUCAGACUUUUAUGGGCACUGUGCACAUAUGGUACACAUACAAACAUAAAAUUAAAGGAGUGUUUUAACCAGGCAGUGGUGGUGUACUUUAACCCCAGCACUUGGGAGGCAGAAGUGGGCAGAUUUCUGAAUUUAAGGCCAGCCUGGUCUACAGAGCCAGUUCCAAAACAGCUAGGGCACAGACAAAGAAACCCUGUUUCAAAAAAAAAAAAAAAUUCCACUCCCCC